Long non-coding RNA from Cyprinus carpio carpio, 4167 nucleotides. NCBI's taxonomy places the organism in Eukaryota, Metazoa, Chordata, Actinopteri, Cypriniformes, Cyprinidae. The record is from Ensembl.
UAAGCUUCAACUGCAAGAAAAAAUUAAACUCAAACCUUUCUAUUUAAAAAAAAAUAUAUAUGAAUUGUGUCAGAAUUUCCACACAUAAACUCAGAAUUGCACAAAUAAAAUAAAAAAUCUGAAUUAAGAGUUGUAAGAAAAAACUAUCCUGAGGCAGAAACAAGCUUCCAUAGUUAGCUCCAAAUGGUAGUAUAAAAAAUCUGCAUGAAGAUCCUUCAAAUUUUUCGAUUUGUGUUUCACAGAAAAAGAUGACAGCUAUUGGUUUGGAACGACGUGAGUAAAUACUGACAGAAAUAUAAUUUUGGUGUGAACUGUUCCUUUAAAUAUUUUGGUUUUCCAUACAGUGGAGCUUGUUUGUGGUUGUGGCUGGAAAUGUUUGUACCUGCAUAAAUUUUGCUCUCCCAUGAAUUCUAAUGCAUGCUCCCUAAUCAGAGUUUGCCUUAUAUCUUCGGGGCCAUGCCAUUUUGAUGAUCGCAUUACGAUGCCGCAACACUCACUGUGUUUAACGCGUUAUCUGUGUUGCCACGUUAGGAAAAUCUCCCUGAAGUUUCUUUCUUACUGGAGGGUAAAAAAUGCAUCAGCAUUGCAUCGGCUGUGUAUGGAGAUGGUGCCGCCUCCGCAGUGCAUUGACAUGCAAACCAGAUCCCACUAGAGACAUGGAGAGAAGUAUCAAACCGAGGACUGACUGAUGAAUGACUAAGGUUUGCUUAAAGGUUACCAUCUCUUCUUUUCGCUCUUUUUAUCGCUCUUUCUCUCUCCUGUCAUUCUCAUUCCCUCCUCCUGAUUAAUUCGUCUUGAUUAUAUGCCAUGAAAUUAUUUGGCGCAUGACACACACAUAUAACUCUGCUCUACUGAUGUAAUAUGAAGCAUGUCCGCUCACAUCAGUUCAGCGCUCAUUGACAGUUCUUUCCUAGUAUUUAGUAUCUAUUUUUGAAAUGCACUCGGACUAGCAUUAGUAUUGAUUGAGUCAUACUCUCAAUAAUACAUGUAUUUACAAAAUGCUGAGUUAAUCUUAUCCAUUAGAUGUGGCCAGUUAAUAUAAAAUUAUGUAAUCACAUCAUUAUUUUUUUAAUGCUAUAACAAAGCUUGAUUGUAAGAAUUUUCAUGGGCCAGAGAGAUUGUGUCAUUCAUUGUGCUUUGGUUUACUGUAACAAAUCUAUCUAUCAGAAUCAGCAUUGGUCGCACGUCUAUUCAUUUCAACUGACCUUUUUAGAUGUUAUGAAUGCUUUUAGCUUAAAUUUUAUCACGAAAGUAUACAUAUAAGUAUACAUUAUUUAGCUGAUUGACAUUGCUAGACAGGGUUCUGUCGAAAUGGAAACAACUUAGUUUGUAAACAUCAGUUUGAAUGGAUUGAAAAAAGAAACAAAUCAAUACUGCUUUAUACCACAAGCCAUUGGUUUGCAGCAAAAGCUGAAAAGUUAGGAGCAUUUUUCUCAACAAUUUCCAGCAAAUUGCCCAUUUUGUGUAAUUUAUAUUUUUAUACAAUUUUAGCCUUUUGUCAUAUCCACCCCUGUAAUUUCAAUUUGAAUUCAUAACUGCACAAUUUAUGGCUUACGUUUGCAUUAGUGCACAAGAUCCUUUGUUCAACAUACAAAAGAGAUGAAAAAUGAUUGUCGAGCUCUGUACAUACUGAUACAUACACUACUAAAAAUAAAGAUUCCAAAAAGUGUUUUUUGCACCCAUUUUGGGUUCCCCAAAGAACCUUUCAGUGAGCAGUUCUCUGUCAGUUUUCUUAAAAGAAAGUUUUCUGUCCAUUUUCUCAGUAAAUAACAUUUUAAUAGUCUAAAGACCAUUUGCCCACUAUGAAGAAUCUUUUGUGGAUAUGGAGAUAAAAGUUUCUUCAUGGAACCAACAAAGUUUCCAAAAGUGUGUUUUUGCAGUGAUGCCAUAGAAGAACCUUUCAGUAAACAGUUCUUAAAAUAUUUUUUUUUUUCCAAGUGUGAAGAACAUUUCAUUAAUCUGAAGAACCAAAGAACCAUUUUCGCUUCUGAGAGGUUCUAUGGAGGUUCUUUGUGGAACCAUCAAUGCCAAUAAAGAACCUUUAUUUAAACCCUAAUAGCUUAUGGUGGAAAUCAGGCCACUUUAUGACAAUCAUCUCAUGGUCAAAAAGGUGGCCCAGUUAACCCGAAUUUACUUUAAACUUUCAUAGAUUUCCUGUUCGUAAUUCCUAUAGUUUCAUCCAAAAACUUUACAAACACAAGCUCCAAAACUCUUCAUAAGGAGAGCAAACAACAGUGUGCUGCUCUUGUGAAGCUCACGACUAUUAAAUGAGUCAGACACUCCCAACGAAACACAAGUCGGCACUUCACAUCUCCGUUCCCUUUGAAGCCAUUCAAAUAUAGAAUCAGGAUGACAGUCCUAAAGAUGGAUGACAUGGUUCAUUGUGACUCCGAGAGUAAACCAGCUUCGUUAUUUGAGAAUAUUCCGCACUCUCAGAUCCUUUUCCUUUUCUCCCCUGAUGAAAUAAGAGAAGCGAGAGAAAACAAAGAUGGCAAGAAAAAUACAUGUGAGUCACUCAGAAAGGACUCACCUAACAAGAUUUACAAAAAAAUAAAAACUAACAUAUAAGAUUUAACACAUCGGUAAGUGUCGGUAAGUCCACAUGGAGCAACUGAAGUGUUAGAUUCAAGUUUUGAGGUGUUUUUUUGAUAAUUAUUGUUAUGUAUUAAGUACAUAUGAAGUGUGAACCUCUUCAAUAGCAUCAGCAGACUUUGAAAUGUGAUCAUCUUUGGGAUGUUUUAACAAUGCUUCAGUCUGCUCUGAGGGCUAAAUUCACUUCCUCCCAGUGACAUCCUAUUAUGGUGGCCAUUUAAGCCCCAGUGACAAGGUCAAACCAAGAUGCUUUCACUCGUCACAUACUAAUCAAGAGAGGCGAGACGAUGGCUUUUGUGGAUUUUGACCACAACAAGACUUCAGUAUCCUCAAAUGAGACACUCUCCUAUUAUAAGAGCUCCGACCCUUAUUAAAUAUCUGACCUCAAAUAUUUCCAGGGCAGAAAUAAAAAAAGUGCAUGAUGAUUUGGCGACUCUUAUAUUUCUUUUUCAAAAAUGAAGACAGAGCAUGUUAUUUCCCUUGUCAAGAGAUAAUUUUCCUGCUUUACAGUCUUAUUUCUAGUGACUUGUAAAUUAAUUUGGAGCUGAAAUGAAGAAGCCUGGGGACGACCAUAGAGAGAAUGAUAUGUAAAACUCAUGCUGCUUAUUCUGUUCAUGGUGAAGUUCUGUCAAAGCGGUUUGCCGAGGCAAUCUCACGGGUCAGUGCAUGCUCUAAAUUACGUUACACAUCCUAAUUGCUGCCUGUAGCAAUUAGAGCCGAAAUAUGGGUGCAAUAAAAUUAAUAUGUAGCCUUUGUUUGACUGGAGAAAUUUUGUUUGUGCACUAACCUGCUGGUAUUUAUAGAAGCCAUUUGACAUGUUGGUUCGCAUUUGGAUUCAGCAUUGACUUGCGGCUCAGGCGAGUGCACAAUGUGUUGCUAUUAUACUUUUGUUUUUCCCUAAAUACUGCUUAUUUUGUGUUUUCCCUUUUCUGUAGUAGGUGCAAGUAAACCUCUUAUUAACUCCUAAACACCGUAGCAAUAAGUACAGAGCUGCCAGAGAGAACAGUGCAAGUCUGGAGCAGUUUGGAAGAGGAGAAAACCAGCUAAAGAAGGAUAAUUAUAGAAUCUUGUGGCCAAAUGCCAGAGAAAACAUGUUUUUGUUUGUCUUCUGUGCCCCUUUGAGAGGAAGGGAUCCUGAAUGUUUGGAAUAGGUCGGCAGACUGUGGGUUUUUAAACUCUCUUGCCUAAUCACGUCGGAAAAGAUCAAAUAUUCAGGACAGAAGGACAGCCUUUUCCUCGCCCACCAUUUCUCUGGAUAUCAAACACAGGAAGAGCUGAAGAAGAGAAAAUGUCAAGGGGCCAGAGUUUCGUUUGAAUCUAACUUCUGUAAUUAUCAAGGCUAAUUUAAGGUUGCUAUUUUCCAGCACUUGCCAGAAUGUAAAAAUCAGUGUUUAGUGAGGCAAGUGAAAUGUUGAACUAAAUGUUACUAAUGUUGACUUUCAUUUGACUGAAAAACUGAAGAUAAUAAUUAGGCUGAUGAUUAAUAAAUACAAAUAAACUAAUUUUAUGUUAUGCCUGGUUGCUGCCUUUCUCCAUUACCACUGCCACUAGUUAAUCACUGACAUAAAUGCCUCA